RNAcentral lists this ribosomal RNA (443 nucleotides) under uncultured bacterium. RNAcentral describes it as "partial 16S ribosomal RNA". It matches the Rfam family "Bacterial small subunit ribosomal RNA", at positions 338 to 795 of the family's 1533-position model. The record is from RNAcentral.
CCUACGGGUGGCUGCAGUGGGGAAUAUUGGGCAAUGGGCGCAAGCCUGACCCAGCAACGCCGCGUGAAGGAAGAAGGUUUUCGGGUCGUAAACUUCUUUUCUGAGGGACGAAGGAAGUGACGGUAACCCAGGAAGAAGUCACGACUAACUACGUGCCAGCAGCCGCGGUACUACGUAGGUGGCAAGCGUUAUACGGAUUGAUUGGGAGUAAUGGGCGUGUAGGCGGGACAGCAAGUCAGAUGUGAAAACUUAGGGCUCAACCCUGAGCCUGCAUUUGAAACUGUUUUUCUUGAGUGCUGAAGAGGCGAUCGGAAUUCCGUGUGUAGCGGUGAAAUGCGUAGAUAUACGGAGGAACACCAGUGGCGAAGGCGGAUUGCUGGACAGUAACUGACGCUGAGGCGCGAAAGCGUGGGGAGCAAACAGGAUUAGAUACCCCAGUAGUC